This 910-nucleotide long non-coding RNA is filed under the name Homo sapiens (human). RNAcentral's name for it is "HSALNT0374351". Lineage: Eukaryota; Metazoa; Chordata; Mammalia; Primates; Hominidae. The record is from RNAcentral.
GGGAGUGCUCAUGCGCAGAGGAAAGGCCGUAGGAGGAUGCUAUAAAAAGGCUGUUGUCUGCAAGCCAAGGGGUGAGGCCUCGGGAGAAACCAAGCCUGUUGACACCACGAUCUUGGACUUCCACCCCUUCAGAACCGAAAAAUGUUAUCACUGUUGUUUUCCACCAUCUUUACUAAUGUGAGUGCAUUGAUUUCAUCAAAGAUGCAAGCUUAAUAUUCACACCAGACUUAUUGCCUUUGGAGGAAGUCCUGAGACUUAGGAACUGACUAAAAACCUCUCUUGAGAAUCUUGCCAGUGGCAUCAUUACAAGCUCAAACUAACCUAAUGCUGGAGAAUGAGAGACCACAUAGGUAAGAGAUGAGUAAUCUCAGCUAAGGACAUCCUAGACCAGCCACACUCAACCAAUCCUAGACCAGUCAACACAGCUAAUCUGCCACUUGACCCUAAUUACAUAAACAAAUCAAGGAAAGAACAGUCUUGCCUUACUCAGACGCAGCCGUAGACGCCAGCUCCGAAAUCACCAUCAAGGACUUAAAGGAGAAGAAGGAAGUUGUGGAAGAGGCAGAAAAUGGAAGAGACGCCCCUGCUAACGGGAAUGCUAAUGAGGAAAAUGGGGAGCAGGAAGCUGACAGUGAAGUAGAUGAAGAAGAGGAAGAAGGUGGGGAGGAAGAGGAGGAGGAAGAAGAAGGUGAUGGUGAGGAAGAGGAUGGAGAUGAAGAUGAGGAAGCUGAGUCACCUACGGGCAAGCGGGCAGCUGAAGAUGAUGAGGAUGACGAUGUCGAUACCAAGAAGCAGAAGACCGACGAGGAUGACUAGACAGCAAAAAAGGAAAAGUUAAACUAAAAAAAAAGGCCGCCGUGACCUAUUCACCCUCCACUUCCCGUCUCAGAAUCUAAACGUGGUCACCUUC